Molecule: ribosomal RNA, 905 nt
Filed under: Psychrobacter celer
Lineage: Bacteria; Pseudomonadati; Pseudomonadota; Gammaproteobacteria; Moraxellales; Moraxellaceae
Description: bacterial SSU rRNA
Rfam family: Bacterial small subunit ribosomal RNA
Source: RNAcentral
GGAAUUACUGGGCGUAAAGCGAGCGUAGGUGGCUUGAUAAGUCAGAUGUGAAAUCCCCGGGCUUAACCUGGGAACUGCAUCUGAUACUGUUAAGCUAGAGUAGGUGAGAGGGAAGUAGAAUUCCAGGUGUAGCGGUGAAAUGCGUAGAGAUCUGGAGGAAUACCGAUGGCGAAGGCAGCUUCCUGGCAUCAUACUGACACUGAGGCUCGAAAGCGUGGGUAGCAAACAGGAUUAGAUACCCUGGUAGUCCACGCCGUAAACGAUGUCUACUAGUCGUUGGGUCCCUUGAGGACUUAGUGACGCAGCUAACGCAAUAAGUAGACCGCCUGGGGAGUACGGCCGCAAGGUUAAAACUCAAAUGAAUUGACGGGGGCCCGCACAAGCGGUGGAGCAUGUGGUUUAAUUCGAUGCAACGCGAAGAACCUUACCUGGUCUUGACAUACACAGAAUCUUGUAGAGAUACGAGAGUGCCUUCGGGAAUUGUGAUACAGGUGCUGCAUGGCUGUCGUCAGCUCGUGUCGUGAGAUGUUGGGUUAAGUCCCGCAACGAGCGCAACCCUUGUCCUUAGUUACCAGCGGGUUAAGCCGGGAACUCUAAGGAUACUGCCAGUGACAAACUGGAGGAAGGCGGGGACGACGUCAAGUCAUCAUGGCCCUUACGACCAGGGCUACACACGUGCUACAAUGGUAGGUACAGAGGGCAGCUACACAGCGAUGUGAUGCGAAUCUCAAAAAGCCUAUCGUAGUCCAGAUUGGAGUCUGCAACUCGACUCCAUGAAGUAGGAAUCGCUAGUAAUCGCGGAUCAGAAUGCCGCGGUGAAUACGUUCCCGGGCCUUGUACACACCGCCCGUCACACCAUGGGAGUUGAUUGCACCAGAAGUGGUUAGCCUAACUUAGUGAGGGCG